UGGUGCGUCCACUCUACCCUGAACACGCCUGGUCUCGUCUGAUCUCGGAAGAAACGCAGGGACACUCACAGUGGUGCUACGCGUCAG
This 87-nucleotide ribosomal RNA is filed under the name Prolemur simus (greater bamboo lemur). Lineage: Eukaryota; Metazoa; Chordata; Mammalia; Primates; Lemuridae. The record is from RNAcentral.